UACAGAGGUCCCGAGCGUUGUUCGGAAUCACUGGGCGUAAAGGGUGCGUAGGUGGCGCCAUAAGUCGGGUGUGAAAUCUCGGGGCUUAACUCCGAAACUGCAUUCGAUACUGUGGUGCUUGAGGACUGGAGAGGAGACUGGAAUUCAUGGUGUAGCAGUGAAAUGCAUAGAGAUCAUGAGGAAGACCAGUGGCGAAGGCGGGUCUCUGGACAGUUCCUGACACUGAGGCACGAAGGCCAGGGGAGCAAACGGG
RNAcentral lists this ribosomal RNA (253 nucleotides) under uncultured bacterium. RNAcentral describes it as "partial 16S ribosomal RNA". It matches the Rfam family "Bacterial small subunit ribosomal RNA", at positions 524 to 776 of the family's 1533-position model. The record is from RNAcentral.